GGAAAAGUCGUCUGCUUUUCCUUCCGUCGAUGGUCGAUCGUUAUUUGUUGAAAUGAGCUGGAGACUCGGAUGACAUUGUGAAUUUCCUGAAAUGGACCAUUUCCCUACGUAGUUCGUACCGUACCUAUUCGCUUCAUAAUCAUCAUGUUUGCAAUCCAAAACGAACUAGAUUCGGUUUGUGUAAAUUGACUCACCUGCAGCUAUUACGACUGGAUUUCUCCACU
Molecule: long non-coding RNA, 224 nt
Organism: Daphnia pulicaria
Lineage: Eukaryota; Metazoa; Arthropoda; Branchiopoda; Diplostraca; Daphniidae
Exons: 3
Source: RefSeq, a predicted model, not a curated record